GCCUUCGUGGUAUAGCGGUCAGAACGCUCGACGCGUAUUCGAGAGGUCCGUGGUUCGAGUCCCAGCGAGGGCA
Molecule: transfer RNA, 73 nt
Filed under: Stegodyphus mimosarum
Lineage: Eukaryota; Metazoa; Arthropoda; Arachnida; Araneae; Eresidae
Rfam family: tRNA
About the family: Transfer RNA (tRNA) molecules are approximately 80 nucleotides in length. Their secondary structure includes four short double-helical elements and three loops (D, anti-codon, and T loops). Further hydrogen bonds mediate the characteristic L-shaped molecular structure. tRNAs have two regions of fundamental functional importance: the anti-codon, which is responsible for specific mRNA codon recognition, and the 3' end, to which the tRNAs corresponding amino acid is attached (by aminoacyl-tRNA synthetases). tRNAs cope with the degeneracy of the genetic code in two manners: having more than one tRNA (with a specific anti-codon) for a particular amino acid; and 'wobble' base-pairing, i.e. permitting non-standard base-pairing at the 3rd anti-codon position.
Source: Rfam by way of RNAcentral